CAGCCACAAAAAUUCUCUCAUGCAUUCUUGAAGAUUAUGGACCUUCUUCUGUGCCAAUUUCUCAAGGAUGGUUAGCCAUUCUCCUAAAUGAAGUUCUGGCUUCCGUCAAGGCUUCAUCUAAUAACGGUGGCAUUCAGCCUAAAAGUGAUAAAGUGAAGACCCAAAUUGAUCAAUCCAACAUUCUGUUUGCUACACAGACUGUUAACCAACUAGCAGGUGCUGUUGUAAAUCUAGCAGGGAAUCAAGUGAGAGCGUCCACUGAUUCUGUUGAUACAUUCCCACUGGCAGAUCUUCUUUCCCUGGAACCUUUUGCUGGACCCUUUCAAAAUUUUAAGAAGGAUGCUAAUGCUAUGUCUAAAUUUAAUGUGGCGGAUUCUGCU
Molecule: unclassified non-coding RNA, 380 nt
Filed under: Hevea brasiliensis (rubber tree)
Lineage: Eukaryota; Viridiplantae; Streptophyta; Magnoliopsida; Malpighiales; Euphorbiaceae
Source: RNAcentral